CUCUCUGGAUAGAGGUUGCAGUUCUCUUGGGCUGUUGCUGGUCAUCAGAAAGGGCUCAUCUCCAGACUGAGAUCCCAAGUGGAGCAUUAUCAUAACUUGAAUCGCUGUUUCCCGGAGGCUGCACGUCUCGCACACUGUCCUGCUGUGGCUGGGAAUGCAUGAGGCUUGCGUCACCAUUGAGAGCAUGUGGUUAUAUAAGUGGUAUCCUAAGGAGAGGCAACAACACGUCCCUCUCGGAGAUGUCUGAAAACCUGGCUGUGACCUAGAAAAGACGCAGAGGAGGAGUUGUUUACGGUGCGUCUUUGUUGAAUUAGAAAUAUGAAUACUGGUGAAUUUGUACAAGAGAACAAAGAUCACAGGAAUACAGCAAAGGCCUUGUGUAUCCUCUGGCCAGCAGCAGCUGGGACUAACAAUUCUCUAGAAAACAAGCAAAAAAAAAUAUUCCAGCUUUUGAGUCAAAGCAAGACUUCAUGUCUGUGAGCUCUAACAAAAUCAAUAGAACAAGAGCUUUGACAGAGAAGUCAAUAUAAGUUAUAAGGCGUUCAGAGUAAAAUAUCGCAGCAGAUGAAAGUGGUUUGAGGAAGAGAGGGGAAAAAUGCAUGCACAACUUAUCAAAUCCUUCUACUGAAUUUUGGGUCCUUCUCUAAGUUAUGAAACAGGGAAAAAGCACGGGCUGUUCUUGUACGCCUGAGUUGAGAUUUCAGUUUGGACUUUCAUUGUCUCAGGCUCAAUUUCAGAGAAAGAAAUUACUAUAUAGCUAAGGAAACAUGGAUGCAUCAAACUUUUAAUAACUAUGUACUGAUGUGGUGCAGCACAGAGGCUUUGUAAUUGGGAACUUACAUUGUAUUGUGGGUGGUGGUAUUAAGAAUCUCUCGUCACAAUGCUGAUGUUGCUACCUUGGUGAGCCAGGAAGGCAUACAUCAUUCCGUGCUGGCUAAGGUUUUUCCUUCCCUCAACAAGGAAGAAAAUGGAGGAAUUGUGGGGGGAAUCUCUUUAAGGAGAAAGAAGUGGUGGUGAUCAAAUACCUGCUGUCAGAUGGUGAGAAUAACACAGCAAGUGUACAACCUGUAAUUCAGAUACAAAAACCUCACUUCAAAUUUUCUGCACAGAGCUGAACAGGUCAAGCGUUUCUCACUUGAGAUUCUUCUCUGUAGCUUCAGUUAAGACCUCAGAAACCUACCCUAACUAAAUUCAUUUGUAUGGCACUUACCUUGGACAUCCUCCAGCAACCAGAGAAAGCAGCUCUUCAAAAUGUGUGGAGGAAGCCACCAGAUCAUGGGGCUGGCUGACUUUGUCCACACACAACUACAGGCCUGGGAGCAGCAUGAGGACAUCCUUUCACAGAGGCAGCAAAUGAAGAAGAGAAAAAGGAAGCCACCUCAGCACGUUCUAUCUUCUGCUUUGAUCAAGACCAUGCAAAGAGGCUGGAUGAGGCCCAUUUGUGUCCAAAACAGUUGUGGUGCUAGUCCACUGGAGCUGUGCAGCCACACAUGCUGCUUCCCAUCAGGCAGGAGAUAUACGGGAAUUGCUAAGUUAGGGCCUGAACCAAUGAUUGAGCACCUGGUGAACAGACACAGCCAGCCCUGGGAGCACAGGUGAAUUGCUUUAGACCAUCAGCCUCAUGAGAAGCCUCAUUUAAGAGCUGGCUACCACAGAGGAAGAAUAUUUACCUGGAGAUCUCUCCUUUUGGAGUAUCAGAGGAGCCCUGAUCCUUGGGAUAGCUGAAAUGAAUGUCUUGCCCUUUCUCAUCUCCUCAUGCCAGACCCUGCUGGCCCUGUUGGCUGUGUGGGAGGCCAGAGGAAGCAUUGCUGCUGACUGGGUCCUGUAGACAUCAAGCAGCUCAUACAGCUGCCAUCAGCACUUAGAAUAAUGUGAACAAGAGUUCUCUGCUUAAUGUUUUGACUCAUCCGUGUAACAGAGAAAUGAAGAAUAUUAAUGUGGACGAAAGCAAGAGCUCUGGAUGAACUAUCAUCUGCAAUUGCUCCAGGUAAUUGUGACACUGGAAAUGAACUCUUAUUUCUGCAGCCUUUGUACUUUGCUUCAUUAGACAUUACCUCGCCAAAAAUCAUCCCCACCCCACUUAGCAGAGAUGAGAUGCUGAAGAAUACCGUGGGGAGAGCUACUUUUAAACUAUAAUCCUGGAAAUGCUUAUGCCUGAGCUGUCCUAGUGAAAAACAUGUAUGACUCAUGGAGUUACACAAGCAUAUUUAGUUCUGGAAAGUAGCUGUAGCUUUUCCAGAAACAUUCCCUACAGUUCUUGGCAGGAGCUUGAGAGACCUUUCACAUGUCCAGGAUGUCAAGUAAAGUAGUGAGUGAUAAAGAUCUGAAUGUGUAUAUUUAUUAUGUGCAUAUUUAACAAAAAAUAUUUGUAUUAGACAAGAAAGGGAUAUUACCAUCAAUGUUAGUUCUCUGCUUGCCUUGCCUUGGGGCUUGUUUCUUUCUGCACUGUAGCCACUGUGAAAGGUGGCAAGGAAUCCAUCUGUAGAAAUUCCCUUCUGCUCAGAUAAGAAGGUUCAACUUGGUAUCAUUUAGAACUUUGCUAUAUAGUUUGUCUUAGCUAGAAAGCUUUAUCUUCCCCCCACCGCCAAGAGAUACAAAGUCAUUCAUUACUUGGGGCUCAGUUUUCAAGCAGUGUAAUGCAAUUACUGCUCCAGUACACUUUUGACUUCAGCAAGGUCUUCAGGUACUCAAUACCUGGAAGAUAAGUGAGUGUAAUACCAGUGAGCAGUAUUACAACCCAGAAAAGAGGAAUUAUGCCACCAAAUUAAUUCAUGGUAAAAUAGCAGACCUCAGAAAAAAUUCUGUAGGGGAAGAAAAAAUGUUUCAGCUUCUAAUUACUAUGACUUUAUCAACUCCCAGAAAGAAACACAG
This is a long non-coding RNA of Gallus gallus (chicken), 2871 nucleotides long. RefSeq lists it as uncharacterized. NCBI's taxonomy places the organism in Eukaryota, Metazoa, Chordata, Aves, Galliformes, Phasianidae. The record is from RefSeq and is a predicted model, not a curated record. The transcript has 12 exons.